GGUUUAAAAUCUUAAUCCCUGAAUAAUGCCACCGCCUGCCUCCCAGCUUUCCUUGGAGACCUUCCAGCUCUGGCCAGCCCUGACCCUAUUUGACUUAAGCAGUUGUGCCUGCUGGGAAUGGAGUCUGCCUCACGCCAGUGCCACCAUUCCUGCGAGGCCAAGUCAUCGGCACGUGGAGCCCUCACUGCAAAUCCCCAUGCCUGUCCAUCUGUGAUGCUGGUCUUAAGACACAUUCAGAUGAUUUUGACCUCAAGACUAAGCCACGUUACACGUGUGAAAGGCCCAGCAUCUCUGCUCUGAUCCGCAGCACCGCUCCUGCAUACUGAGUAAGUAACUGCAGCCUACUGAUGUAAUAGCAUCCUGCAUAUGUCUCAUAUUAAUGGUAUUUUCCUAAUAGUAAUAGCAUUAAAAGCCUGUCUACUUUGCUAUUGACUUACCCUAUUUAGGAUAAUUUGCCCAGAAAGACUAUCCUUGAGCAUGUGAACAGCCAUAUCAUUUUAUAACACUUAACUUAAAAAUAUCAAAAUCAAAGCAAGCUGACAGUUUGAUUCCAGAACUAGUAUUUUUCCAUUAAAAAAAAAAAAUCUGUUGUGUUUCUUGAAUAAUUUAUUAUCUGGAUUUUUGUUGUAUUUUCCACAUGGAAUUGAUGAAGAAAAAAUACUUUUUUUUUUCUAAAGAAAGUUUGGACGAGCGAAAAUUCACACAUGGAAAACAAAUGAGCAUCGGGAAACACUCCUCAUAGCUAAUGGCUACUUGGUAUGUCGCCAGAAUUCAUACAGAUCCUUAAAAUCAAGUAAAUUAUGCCCGUAGUGAUAGCUCCCUUUCGCUGG
Molecule: long non-coding RNA, 830 nt
Filed under: Anser brachyrhynchus (Pink-footed goose)
Lineage: Eukaryota; Metazoa; Chordata; Aves; Anseriformes; Anatidae
Description: lncRNA (ENSABRG00000022078.1)
Source: RNAcentral